RNAcentral lists this non-coding RNA (30 nucleotides) under Cricetulus griseus (Chinese hamster). Lineage: Eukaryota; Metazoa; Chordata; Mammalia; Rodentia; Cricetidae. The record is from RNAcentral.
CCAGCACUCGGGAGGCAGAGGCAAGUAGAU